Tephrocybe sp. NHM501043 is the source of this 93-nucleotide non-coding RNA. The record is from the annotation of a GenBank genome assembly. NCBI's taxonomy places the organism in Eukaryota, Fungi, Basidiomycota, Agaricomycetes, Agaricales, Lyophyllaceae.
UCGGGUAUGGUGUAACGGCUAACAUUGCCGCCUCUCAUGGCCAUUGGCCCGCUAUGUGCGCGGCAGCUCGGGGUUCGAUUCCCCGUACCCGAA